GAUGAACGCUGGCGGCGUGCCUAAUACAUGCAAGUCGAGCGAACAGACGAGGAGCUUGCUCCUCUGACGUUAGCGGCGGACGGGUGAGUAACACGUGGAUAACCUACCUAUAAGACUGGGAUAACUUCGGGAAACCGGAGCUAAUACCGGAUAAUAUAUUGAACCGCAUGGUUCAAUAGUGAAAGACGGUUUUGCUGUCACUUAUAGAUGGAUCCGCGCCGCAUUAGCUAGUUGGUAAGGUAACGGCUUACCAAGGCAACGAUGCGUAGCCGACCUGAGAGGGCGAUCGGCCACACGGGAACUGAGGCACGGCCCAGACUCCUACGGGGGGCAGCAGUAGGGAAUCUUCCGCAAUGGGCGAAUGCUUGACGGAGCAACGCCGCGUGAGGGAUGAAGGUCUUCGGAUCGUAAAACUCUGUUAUUAGGGAAGAACAAAUGUGUAAGUACCUAUGCACGUCUUGACGGUACCUAAUCAGAAAGCCACGGCUAACUCCGUG
This 497-nucleotide ribosomal RNA is filed under the name uncultured bacterium. RNAcentral's name for it is "partial 16S ribosomal RNA". It matches the Rfam family "Bacterial small subunit ribosomal RNA", at positions 28 to 507 of the family's 1533-position model. The record is from RNAcentral.